UCUGAUCAACCGCUAGAACACAAUCGAACAUGUUCAAGCUCUCCGUUGUGGAUAGUAAUUUCAGUUUUUCAGGUUCAUUAAGAAAUUUCAGAAAUAGCAUCAGGGCUGUUACAUUGGUAACAGUUUUACAGCUACAGUUCAGAUAGGCACAUAUCUGAACGAAAACCAGGUAGCUAACAGAGAGUCACAUAUCUGAAUAAAAUCGCAAGUGAUUAAGCAUAGACAAAUAUUUUGCGUAGUCACAUAUCGGAGCAGCAACGUAUGUAGAGUUUGUUCUUCAGCCCGUUUUCAUAUCUAUCAUUGGCAACAACUCUUGCAAUCAUAUGUCCAAAACAUCCAUUUGUAUCUCGGACAUGAAGUUCUCCAGAACAUUAUUUUCAUGAUAUUUGAAUCUGCUCCAUCAUCUACAAAAUCAAAAGAUAAUUUGUUUUCUUAGAUGGAUAUAAACCUUAUCAUUUUGUUCAUGGCUUUCUUUCAUGCGCAUAUUUUAUUUUAGGCUUUUUCUUCACAUAGUUUAGUUGAUUCUAUUAUAUAGUAUAAUCUCUUUACUUUCUCGGUUACUUUCACUAAAUUGGCACAUCAUUUUUUUUGGGAAAAUGAGAUUUUAUCUACUAGUACCUAGCUAAAAGUAUGAGUUAAUUUUGUUGGCUUUAAGGUUUUCAGAUCUUUUAGGGUUUGUUUGGGUCAUCGAUCUUCAUUUGUGGCUUGGAUCAUCGUGGCCUUCUAGUUCUAGGCCAAAGCAGGAUGUCCUUAGAGAUUGGGUGGUCUAGUGCAAAAUUCAAAACAAGGCCCAUUUUUAAGAAAGCCACUUAUUUAAACAGGUUUCUUUGUUAAUUAUAGCACUGAAACAAUCUUACGAAAGGGAGUAUCCGAAGACCCUUUAACUGCUAAUAAACUAAACAUAUGACUUUGGAAUUGAGGAAGUAUUUUUUUACAUGAAAACUGUCAUUCUAGUAGUUUUAUUUGCAAAUAAUAUUCAAUUCAAACUUUCUGCAAAAUAUCAUUUCUAAGUGCCAGUGUAGCUAGUGCAAUGUUUUUUUUGGGUGUGUUAAUGUAAAACGCAUGUAGUACUUUUUUAACAACUUUAAUUUGAAAUUCUACUUUGACACCACAUUGAUCGGAAUAGUGAACAAAAUUUUACAUGCUAAGCGUUCUUACGUUUUUAUCUUAAAGGAAACAAUGGAGUAACCUAAAGUUCAUAUACAAGUGUACGGACCGAAUAUGGCCUAAGAGUGAAGUGAUUUGGGCUCUGGUUAUAUUCUACGCAUGUCCAAGAGGCUGUGUUUCUCUCCCCAACCAACCUUUAUGGGCGAUUGUAGGAUCGAUUCACUUUAAAAUAGAAAAUCAGAAUGGAGUAAAUGAUUACAAAAGCUAAACAUAAAAUUAAAGACUUCAUCUUAAGCACAAAAUAUAAUUAGCUUUGUCAUAUUAAACUAGAUGAUAUUAGUGAAUUAACCCAACUAGAAUCACAUCAAUUGAAGUCUAGAACUCAAGAUAUGAAAAUAACAAGCAUGUUAUGUUAGAAUAUGACAAGAACUAAUUAAGACUAGAUUUUGUGAUUAAGAAAAAAAAUUCUUAAAAGAUAAAUCAAUGAAACUUUUUAGAUCAAGUGGGUUCGUACUGAUGGACCGAGAGCGGUGAAGGGAGAGCACUGAGUCUUAAAUGAGAGACUAGAGAAGUCGGAUGACCGCUACAGUGGCUAACACUUGGGGUUAUCAAUAGGCGCAAGGAUAUGGCAUAGAGGAUCAUGUUGCCACGCUUUUGAGGAUCGACGGGUCACGUGUCCAGGAUAUGGGGGGACGUGUAUAGAAUACGCUUCUUGUAGAGGAGGUUUGGUGGUUAAACCUCAAAACCACAUGGCGAUGGUUUUUAGGGUUUGGCCUCAAAACCUAGCAGCGUGGUUUUGGAGGGAAUCGAAGGUGAUACGUGAAACCACCGUAAAGCAACUUUGCGAAGGAAGGGUGGUAAUCAGGUCAUCGAAUUAAGAGUUGAUUCAUUUCGUCCCUUGCUAAAUAGAUAAGUUCCAUGUAUCUAAGGGUAAUUUAGGAAUGUGAAAAAAAAUCUAUAUAAAUAAGAGGAAGGGCUGCACUAAUCAGCCAUCUCUUUAUUUUGUGGUUUGCACUUCCAUUUUCCCUUUGUUAGCGAUAUCCUUAGCAGUUUUGACACUUGCUUCUAUGCAUUUUUUUAUUUGGGAAGCAUGGCCUUGACCACACUAUGACCUCUUUAUUUUAUUUCGAUCCAAAUUAUGUUUUCUUUGGAGAUUUUGAUUUGUCUUCUCUUCUCAAACACUUUUGUUUGGACCUUUGAAGUGAGUUUGUGAAAUAUGAGUUUGAGAUGAAUUUUUGGGUAGAUAACUUCUGGUAUGGGUUGAUUCAAUUUGUAAAAUAAGUUUCUACUGUUUUGUACUUUUGAGAAAAGCCCAACUCCAAUUUGAGUUUUGUGACAUGAUUCUCAAGUUUUGAUAUUUUGGUGCUCAAACUCAUGGAACCUUUUUAUUUUCUCUAUGUCUCACUGUGCACCAAGUUUCAUCACAAUCAAAGUAUUUUUGCUCGAGCGGCACUAUCAGACGGAGGAGCGACACUGUCGCUCCGUACAAUGGGAUUCUCGGUUGGUUCUUUCUUAGACUUUUGGCGUAGAUGUUGGGCGAUGAACAACGUUGAAGGGUUGAUGGAGAAGAGGUACGACGGUUUAGGGAUGACUAAGCCACGUCACUGACCACCAAAGUCAGGAGGUGGUGGCCCGCAGCUGGAAGGUGACGUUGGAUGGGAGUCGAGCAUCGAGUCAGGUGGGUGGCCUCUGUAUAUAAAAGGAAAUGAUCCAAUCAUAGAAGCAAUGACAUUUGUGUAACGUUUUGGAAAUAUUGGAUAAGGAACCCGAGAAUCUAGGGUGGAGGAGAUUCGAGAUUAACUAAAUUUUUUUUAAGGUUUUCAAGAAUUAACUUACCUUAUGUACUCGAUUGGUCGAUAUUUCAUAUUUGUUAUCGUGGAUCUGGCAUAGAAAGCUAAAGUAAAGGAUCCAUAAGCAAGAUUCUAAAUCUCUCACUAUGGACAUUGUUAUCUUUAGAUAUAGCUGUUAAUAAAGGCUAAAACUAUUUAGCCACUAUAACCUGAUUUAACCCGCACUAUUAGCUAUGCAAUUAGCUGUUUGAGAAGUAAAACACUGUAUGAAAAGCCUGAUGUGACCAAGACAACGAUAUCGGCAUAGACAUUGUUAUCUUUAUGUUUUUUAUGUCGAAGUAGUGGCAACAAGGAUAUCAGGAUGAGCGUCGGUGUCAAAAAUCAACCGCGGCUUCAACAACGAUAUCGAUGUAGAGCUUAACGUGCUACCGUAUUAUGUAUGAAUCAAAGCACCGACGGCUCAGAUUUUUUUUUUUUUUUACUCUUUGUCUCUUGUGAUCAAGACAGUAGAUGAAAAUAGAUAGAGGGACUAUAAUCAGCUAAUCAAGUUGACCAGAACAAGUUUUGCUUGGAUCAGGAUCACGUCGUCCACUAACAUAUAGUGCCGAUGGAAGGAAAACCACUUCCCGCCCCCGGACUGGAAGCCAACCGAAGCAAGAAAGAGGAGAAACGUAGCAAGAAACCAACUACGAACCCAACAACCAGAGCUCAAAAUCCAAUUUUUUUUUUUUAAAAAAAAAACUCCCAGCAGAAGAACAACCAAGAAGCCAAGAACCUGUGACGCGAGCCAUGGACUCUGGUCCGGUGCCCACGCGCCCAACAGGAGGUUCCGCAGCGGUGGCUUCGUCGUCUUCAUCACUCAUCUUUCUGGGCACCGGCUGCUCCGGCGCGCUCCCCGACGCGCGAUGCCUCAUCCAGCCGUCGGAGCCUCCGUGCACCGUCUGCUCCACGGCCCUCUCCCUGCCGCCGGACCGGAACCCCAACUACAGGUGAGCGCUGCGCUCCUACAUAGCAUAGCAUAGCCAAUCGCUGUUCAGCGAACGCUUCUGCUCCAAAUAACUGCCAGAGCCUCAAAACAAAACUGGUCUUGACCUAGAGAAUUCUCGAGUUUUACCUGCCCUGGAAAUCGGCAAGAGCAUCCGGUGUCUCACACU
This 4051-nucleotide long non-coding RNA is filed under the name Zea mays. RNAcentral's name for it is "long non-coding RNA (ZMAY_LNC000049)". The record is from RNAcentral. Lineage: Eukaryota; Viridiplantae; Streptophyta; Magnoliopsida; Poales; Poaceae.